This 254-nucleotide ribosomal RNA is filed under the name uncultured bacterium. RNAcentral's name for it is "partial 16S ribosomal RNA". It matches the Rfam family "Bacterial small subunit ribosomal RNA", at positions 524 to 776 of the family's 1533-position model. The record is from RNAcentral.
UACGGGGGGAGCAAGCGUUGUUCGGAUUUACUGGGCGUAAAGGGCGCGUAGGCGGUCGUGACAAGUCACUUGUGAAAUCUCCGGGCUUAACUCGGAACGGUCAAGUGAUACUGUCGGACUAGAGUACAGAAGGGGCAACUGGAAUUCUCGGUGUAGCGGUGAAAUGCGUAGAUAUCGGGAGGAACACCUGUGGCGAAAGCGGCGCACUGGACCACAACUGACGCUCAGGCACGAAAGCGUGGGGAGCAAACAGG